Molecule: long non-coding RNA, 621 nt
Organism: Esox lucius (northern pike)
Lineage: Eukaryota; Metazoa; Chordata; Actinopteri; Esociformes; Esocidae
Source: Ensembl
GCAAAUGAUGUCCAGUAAGGGAGGAGAGGUACUGCAUGCUGGUGCUGUCCUACUCCUGGAGGUGUAUUGGGUCAGUGCUGGUGCUGUCCUACUCCUGGAGGUGUUUUGGGUCGGUGGGAGUGCCUGGUGUGCUUUUGUAAAGUGCAGGGCUAACGUUUCACUGAGUUGGUGGUAGAGUAAGGUGGCUGGGGACUGUGUGUGUGUGGAAACUACACAUCCUACUAUUGGAAAGAAAAAGAAAACAAAGACAGAGAGCGAGAGAGAGAAGCAGCUGGUAUCCAGUGACAGGCUUCAGCGUCAAGCUAACUUCCCAGGGAAAGCCCAGGAGCUGCAAAUUUGUGCCUUUGAAAGCAGCCCAGCUACUAUCCCUGAACACAGGUCCCAAUCAGGCCUCAUCAAGAGGAGGAUAUAAGGACCCAAGGAAAGCAGCUCCGGGCAGCAGGAAGACAGGAAUGAGAGAAGACUGGGCAGCUGUACUCCGUCCCACAGGAUUUUACAUUUCAGUUUUGAUUGUGUUUCUUCUGCCACUUCCUGUUAAUACAGAUGUGCUCAAAAGUUUGCAUACCCUUGGAGAAUUGGUCAUAUAUGUACCAUUUGUAAAGAAAACAUGAUUGAACAGGA